GAUGAACGCUGGCGGCGUGCCUAAUACAUGCAAGUCGAGCGAACGGACGAGAAGCUUGCUUUUCUGAUGUUAGCGGCGGACGGGUGAGUAACACGUGGAUAACCUACCUAUAAGACUGGGAUAACUUCGGGAAACCGAAGCUAAUACCGGAUAAUAUUUUGAACCGCAUGGUUCAAAAGUGAAAGACGGUCUUGCUGUCACUUAUAGAUGGAUCCGCGCUGCAUUAGCUAGUUGGUAAGGUAACGGCUUACCAAGGCAACGAUGCAUAGCCGACCUGAGAGGGUGAUCGGCCACACUGGAACUGAGACACGGUCCAGACUCCUACGGGAGGCAGCAGUAGGGAAUCUUCCGCAAUGGGCGAAAGCCUGACGGAGCAACGCCGCGUGAGUGAUGAAGGUCUUCGGAUCGUAAAACUCUGUUAUUAGGGAAGAACAUAUGUGUAAGUAACUGUGCACAUCUUGACGGUACCUAAUCAGAAAGCCACGGCUAACUACGUG
This 497-nucleotide ribosomal RNA is filed under the name uncultured bacterium. RNAcentral's name for it is "partial 16S ribosomal RNA". It matches the Rfam family "Bacterial small subunit ribosomal RNA", at positions 28 to 507 of the family's 1533-position model. The record is from RNAcentral.